UACGUAGGUGGCGAGCGUUGUCCGGAUUUACUGGGCGUAAAGGGAGCGUAGGCGGACUUUUAAGUGAGAUGUGAAAUACUCGGGCUCAACUUGAGUGCUGCAUUUCAAACUGGAAGUCUAGAGUGCAGGAGAGGAGAAUGGAAUUCCUAGUGUAGCGGUGAAAUGCGUAGAGAUUAGGAAGAACACCAGUGGCGAAGUCGAUUCUCUGGACUGUAACUGACGCUGAGGCUCGAAAGCGUGGGGAGCAAACAGG
RNAcentral lists this ribosomal RNA (253 nucleotides) under uncultured bacterium. Its description in RNAcentral is "partial 16S ribosomal RNA". It matches the Rfam family "Bacterial small subunit ribosomal RNA", at positions 524 to 776 of the family's 1533-position model. The record is from RNAcentral.